This 76-nucleotide transfer RNA is filed under the name Podargus strigoides (tawny frogmouth). Its description in RNAcentral is "tRNA-Trp". It matches the Rfam family "tRNA". Rfam says of the family: Transfer RNA (tRNA) molecules are approximately 80 nucleotides in length. Their secondary structure includes four short double-helical elements and three loops (D, anti-codon, and T loops). The record is from RNAcentral. RNAcentral also lists the same sequence under 1 other name. Lineage: Eukaryota; Metazoa; Chordata; Aves; Caprimulgiformes; Podargidae.
AGAAACUUAGGUUAACCCGUGACUAAACCAAAGGCCUUCAAAGCCUUGAAUAAGAGUUAGACCCUCUUAGUUUCUG